GAUGAACGCUGGCGGCGUGCCUAAUACAUGCAAGUCGAGCGAACAGAUAAGGAGCUUGCUCCUUUGACGUUAGCGGCGGACGGGUGAGUAACACGUGGGUAACCUACCUAUAAGACUGGGAUAACCUCGGGAAACCGGAGCUAAUACCGGAUAACAUUUGGAACCGCAUGGUUCUAAAGUGAAAGAUGGUUUUGCUAUCACUUAUAGAUGGACCCGCGCCGUAUUAGCUAGUUGGUAAGGUAACGGCUUACCAAGGCGACGAUACGUAGCCGACCUGAGAGGGUGAUCGGCCACACUGGAACUGAGACACGGUCCAGACUCCUACGGGAGGCAGCAGUAGGGAAUCUUCCGCAAUGGGCGAAAGCCUGACGGAGCAACGCCGCGUGAGUGAUGAAGGGUUUCGGCUCGUAAAACUCUGUUAUUAGGGAAGAACAAAUGUGUAAGUAACUGUGCACGUCUUGACGGUACCUAAUCAGAAAGCCACGGCUAACUACGUG
Molecule: ribosomal RNA, 497 nt
Filed under: uncultured bacterium
Lineage: Bacteria
Description: partial 16S ribosomal RNA
Rfam family: Bacterial small subunit ribosomal RNA
Source: RNAcentral